RNAcentral lists this unclassified non-coding RNA (502 nucleotides) under Hevea brasiliensis (rubber tree). Lineage: Eukaryota; Viridiplantae; Streptophyta; Magnoliopsida; Malpighiales; Euphorbiaceae. The record is from RNAcentral.
GUUUAUUUAUUUAUUUAUUUUUUGGUCAAAGAUGAAUUCCCUCAUUGGUGAUUUUAAGACCAUUCUCCCUCCUCAGAGAUUUUAACGCGCACUCUCCAUAUCAGCCUAGCGUGAUAGAUAAUUCUGUAAUGCUUAAGGAAGAAGAGCUUUCGUUUUACGCUGAUGGGUGCAAGCAAUUCAAAGCUCGUUGAUCAUUGCAUUUGAUCUUUAAUCAUAACAAUAAGAAAAACAAGCAACUAUAACAAGCAAUUACAGUAAUGAUAAUAAGAUCACAAAUAUGUUCGUGUAAAACAAAACAUGCCUUCUUUCAUACAUCUCCUUAAUUUUUUGGUAUGAUGUUUCCUAUCAACUUUUUCAACAGAGUUGUUUGUUUCGUGGGAAAGUAUAUUUCUUGGAAAAUAAUUUAAUUUCUAUAUUCUUUUUAAUAUUUCCAUGUUUAAAACGUACUGGUCUCUGCUAUUUGAGGGGGAAAAAAAACCAGCAGUAACUUUUUUGAUCUCUC